Molecule: long non-coding RNA, 830 nt
Organism: Ochlerotatus camptorhynchus
Lineage: Eukaryota; Metazoa; Arthropoda; Insecta; Diptera; Culicidae
Exons: 4
Source: RefSeq, a predicted model, not a curated record
GGUGUCCGGUGAAAGUGCAAAACCAGUCGAAAGGGAGUGAGUAAAUUUUAGGGAGUUGAUGGGAAAUUUGUUAGGUAAAUAGAUUAUUGAUUACCGAUUGGAGUGACAGCCGGUAGUGAAAGUUGGCUGAUAGUUUACUGGCCUCACUCUUGGAGGAAAUUUUAACCGAGGUCAUCAGAGUCUGUCUUCGCUUAGCAAAUAUUGUAUCAGAGUGUGUGGGUGAAAAUCGGCUGAAUGGAUUUCACAGGCAAUAAAAGAAGUGGAAAAAGAUAAGGUGCUACUACAGCUUAAGAGGAUUAAUCUGUUGGGUGUAAGCGGGAAAGUUUUACAGAUAAUCCUCAGCCCCAGGUUGGCAGCGUGCAAGCAGAAGUAAAAGCCCCCGCAGCGGUACGAAUAGGCGUAGGUGUCAGCCAGCCAGCUGAUCGCUCGAUGAAAGCAACCUUCGACGACAACGGCGAAGCGAAUCAGAGAAUAAAAGGAAAAACCAAUAAUCCCUAAUCCAGCAUCUAUCAAUUUUGUUCAAAUAAUACGAUUCGUAUUUCCUCCGUUCUGACAAUCGGAUUAAGAUUUUUCUUCCCGGCUGACUGCUGACUAACCACGGUACGGACACAUAACGCAAGAGAAGAAGAUGGGAACGGUAGUGUGCCUUCCGGCUGGACCGGAACUGGUAUCUCAGUGCAACCGUUGUGCUACCUGUUUGCCGAAGCCGUUCUUCGGAAAGCGAGGUGUCUCUGCGCUAAGUUCAGCGGUACCAUCUAGCGACAGUGUGUACAAGCUGGCUGAAAUUCGUCAGAGCAGUGAUGGAACAGUGACUCACAGGAUAGUGGAAG